RNAcentral lists this non-coding RNA (79 nucleotides) under Ruminococcaceae bacterium D16. Its description in RNAcentral is "ZMP/ZTP riboswitch aptamer (pfl RNA motif)". It matches the Rfam family "ZMP/ZTP riboswitch aptamer (pfl RNA motif)". Rfam says of the family: Previously known as pfl RNA. ZMP is also known as AICAR. Lineage: Bacteria; Bacillati; Bacillota; Clostridia; Eubacteriales; Oscillospiraceae. The record is from Rfam by way of RNAcentral. RNAcentral also lists the same sequence under 1 other name.
GGCGGAUCAUAUGACUGACGGAAGUGGGGAGACCACAGGGAGUAUGAUCGUCAUGAUGCCGACCGUCUGGGCGCCGAAA